Long non-coding RNA from Trichechus manatus latirostris (Florida manatee), 4756 nucleotides. RefSeq lists it as uncharacterized. The transcript is spliced from 4 exons. The record is from RefSeq and is a predicted model, not a curated record. NCBI's taxonomy places the organism in Eukaryota, Metazoa, Chordata, Mammalia, Sirenia, Trichechidae.
GAGUAGAACUGCCCUGUAGGGUUUCCAAGGAGCAGCUGGUGGAUUCGAACCACUGACUUUUUGGUUAGCAGCCUAUCUCUUAACUGCUGCACCACCAGGGCUCCGAGUGCCACUAAAUUCUGGACACCAUUGGGUCACUAUAUUUCAAAAAAUAGUUCAAAAACUUCGUUUGAAGCUCCUUUCAAUGAUUAAGUCUCCCAAAAAUAUAUCUUUUGUUUAUUGACAUGAGCCUCCCAGACUUCCUCUCUUUUUGUUCAACUGUAGUAAAUUUGGCAUUAAAAGAUGAUAUUCAAUCCUUGCUUCCUUUAUAGAGUUGCACCGAAGUCAAUGAGAAUUUUAUGCAAAAGUAAAGGAUAAACUACGGCCCUGAAGUAGUCAUUUAGGAUAGUAGAACAGACCCACAAGACUAAAUUCAGUGCCUAGUAAGGGGAUCAUGCUAAAUUUAACAUUGCAGAAGAGUUUCCAGCUGUUGGCUUGAUAUGAAGGAGGAGAGCUGCUUUUAUGACUGAUUACUGUCCUCAGGAGGAAGAGGGAAGUGGAGCGAUGCUACAUUUCUUCGAUCCCUAAGGUGCAGUGCAUAUUCUGUGGCACUGAUUUGAGAAGGCUCAUAACUUUAAUGAUUCCCUGUGUCAAUUGUCAUGACUCUAGGCUUUGAAAAUCCUAACACCUAGGAAGGGAGGAACAGGAAUGUGUGUAACUAAAAAUGCAGAAAAAAAUAUAAUAAAGUCCAAGUAGCUUUUUGAUUUUUUAAAUUUUACACUAAUGAUAAGUCACUUGUGGUUCGUCACUCUAGCUUAAGUAACACGACUAGACUUUAUUCGCCAGCUGUACUUAAAGAUCGUGGUUUUAUGUUUUUAAAAAUGUCAUCUAUUCCUUCAAUCUCUUGUAAGUCCCCUGUAAUCUCUUUUUAAUGUAAGCACACUGGAGUUUUCCCUUUUGUUUGCUGCCCUUGCAUUAUUUACUUUGAUCUGCUGUGAGAAAAUCUGAAAGUGUGUUGUCCUAAAUGCUAGCAUCUCACCAACAUGAUUUGAGGCCUUGUACUUCGCAUUGAAGAAAAAGGCUCUUGUGUGAAGACGCAGGUUUUGUUUAGUUCUCUCUCCCUGGUGGGAGCCUUAAUUGCAUUUUCUCUGUCUCACAGUGGCUGGCUAAGGAGUGCCUGCCUUCCCUGCUGAUGCUGAAGUUUUCAAGCUCUAUUACUCUGUGACGGAGAAAAUUCCUUGGUCCAGGAAGAAAAGGGUCAGGUUCCACUCUUGGAGGGGAGGUACUCUCUAUUAUCAUCUCUGCAGUCUGGUCACUUAGCACAAUAUCUGAGACAUAACAGAUGCUCAGCAGACAAAUUUUGUUCAGACCAGAAAGAUUUUUCAACCAUCUGAGGUAUGUUUUACACCAGUGAUAAAAUAUUUUCUCUAAAGUAUUGGAAACACUGGUGGCGUAGUGGUUAAGAGCUAAGUCUGCUAACCAAAAGGUCGACAGUUUGAAUACACCAGUCACUCCUUGGAAACCGUAUGGGAAAGUUCUACUCUAUCCUAUACGGUCGCUAUGAGUGGGAAUCGACUAGACGGCAGUGGCUUAAGUAAGUGCUUUAGAAUCAUCUGAAAUAAAAAUGAUAUAAAGGUAAAAGCUUUCAGUCAGUUGUUAUAUCUUUGAUUCAUUAUAUAUGUAACAGUGCUGAUGUCAUAUAGACUAAUUAGUACAUCAUAGAGAAGAAACUCUACCCGUAGCCUCAUUGAAACUCUCUCAAUUACCUUAACUUGCCAACGUCUUUUUAACUUUUAGAUAUUUGCAUAUGUUGUUGCUUUGAUCUGGAAGUCUCCUCCUUCUUCCCCUUGCUAGGCUAAUCCUCACUCAGGCCACAGUUAGCUAUUAAGAUCUCCAUGCAUAUUUUCUUGAUCCCCUCACCCAAGACUGGAUUAGGAACAAGAUAUGUGAUAUUUUUUGGUUUGUGGAGACUUCUAACACAUACCAUCCCAUAUGAUCUUCAUUACCUUCAUUCAUGGAAACCCUAAUAGUAUAGUGGUUAAGAGUUUGACUGCUAACCAGAAGGUCAGCAGUCCGAAUCCACCACGCACUCCUUGGAAACCCUAUGGGGCAGUUCUACUCUGUCUUAUAGGGUCAGUAUGAGUCGGAUUCGACUCCACGGCAACGGGUUUGUUUUUUUUUUUACCUUCAUUCAUUAACCUUAUGAGUCACCCGCAAUAUGCCAGGCACUGAAACAGAAGAGUGGCUUCCAGAAUUCUUGUUCUCAGGAAGCUCAUCACUCAGAGGGGUGAGAGGUUAGUCUGUAUAACUCAAUGUGAUGAGUACAAAAACUGAGGUUUGCACAAAUAGAAACAGAAUAAAUAUGUGGGUGUAGUUGGGCAGUGGUGGCCAGGAAUGGUGAGGAGAGAAACAGGGAAAUGAGUUUGCUGAGUGUUGAAGGCCGCAGGGAGUUUUCCAGGGAAAGAAGGGAAUGGAGGAGAUUUGGAGGGGAAACAAGUAACUCCGUGACUCCGUGAAACAAAAUGUUUUUUGUUUGCUUUGUUUUUUUUAUUAAUUGAGAUCCUGCUACAGUUUAGGUUAAACGUACAGCAAUCUGUAAGGAUUAUUUCAUUUACUUUACAAAAUGACUCAGUAAGAUUGGUACUUUUACCAGGCAAAAGUUCUAAGGCACAGAAAAGUUAACAUGCCUUACCCAAGGUAUUCUUAGCUUUGUCAUUUUCUGCAAUCUGUUCUCUAAAUUAUGAUGUUACAGUAUUACAAUUGUCCUUUUCAAAUAUCUGGGUGACUGUAGGGUUGCUAUGAGUCGGAAUCGACUUGACGGCAACUUCUUUUUUUGUUGUUGUUGUUUUUGGUGGAGUGAUGUCAAGUUUUCUUCUAAAAUUCAAAAACAGAACUAUCAAAAAAUUGUCCUUUUUUCCUUGCUUGUUUUAUAUAUUUGUUAGGUAUUUAGUGCUUGUUUUGCAUGUUAAAUUUUUAUAUUUUCAGUAUAUCCAUAGCUUAAGAAAGCCUGACUUAGAUGGGACGAAAGAAGAAAAAGUAUCAAAGCUGAAUUUUAUGAAAUGGCACGCAAAUAUUGCUGAAAGAUGAGAAAAACUCCCUUACCUGAAUCUGUUUAUUUGAAGUACUAAAAUCAAAAUAUCAUAAAAGUCCCACUUUCUAGUAUCUACUUUAACACAACCUUCCCUUUGUAAUAAUCUGAUAAACAAAUGACAUGUUAGACUAGUGUUCUUCCUAUUAUAACAAUUUAGUAGGGUAUAAUGGAGCAAAUUUAUUCUGUUUCCGAGUUGUAUUUUUUGGAAAUGUUCUUAAACCAGACCUGAUAAAUACAUACAACUUCAGGGGGGCUCUUACAAUGCAUCUUAAGAAAUAUGCUUUAGAGAUAUGAUUUCAACAUAAAUCAGUAGAGAAAAAUUUGCAGUUUACAUUUCUUUUAUUAUAAAAGAAAGCAAUAGUUACGUCUUUUGAAAGUUAGCAUUUUUAACAAAAUUGUCAACUCAAAUUUUUCUUAAAAUUGGAGGCAUUUGGUCAACAUUAUAAAGCUAUAAUCCGUGAAAAGUUAAUUAAAGAACUAUUGAAUGCUCCCAUUGGUGACUGAGGGGAAAUUUGAAAACAUAAAUCACGGAAUCUGUUCAUUUAGCUUUUGCUCUAUGGUCAAAGGAAAAGAUCUGUUAAAGAAUAUAUAUUUAAAAAUUAAUUGCUUUUCGAGUUAUGUAAACAUCAAAGUAUCACAAAAAACUAGAAAGAAAGUGAAUUCAUUGUCAGAAUUCUGGCUUCUAAUACUGACUGGUCAAGACUCAAUGAGUCAUCUAACCCACUGGAAUACAGUGUCUUCAUCUGUAACUUAAAUGAUUUACUUGUUGAUUUAUAAGAUCCAGUUCAGUUCUAAUAGUUUUAUUUUAUAAUUAAUUUAAUAAUCCAUAUAUAAUGAAUGCAGUGGUAGAGAAGGGUGAGAAUAUUGUACGCAAAUAUUUAAAAAUGUAAAUGACUGGCUAGUUAAAAUUUUAAAUGACUGGCUGAGGUCAGCUGCCACUCUUCCAUAGGCUGUCUAUAAGUUUCAGUGAGUUUUUACUUCUAAAAUGGUGGGCAUAUAUAGAUGCAAUCAUUCUGUCAGUAUAAUUACAUACAGAUUCAUAUAUAUUGUUAAAAGUGGGGUAGGAUAUGAUUGAGAACACUUCUUUUCUUAUUCAUGCAUGAUUUCCUAGAAGAGGGGUAAUGAUACCAAGUUUGAUAAGCACCUACAAUCUACCAUGACAUUUUUGAAAAUUUUGUCCAUGUAAACUUUAUAAUAGCCCUGUGAUGCAGAUAUCAUUAUUCCUAUUUCACUAUUGAGGAAACUGAGACUCAUUGUUCAAGUUACAAAACAGCUUGGUGGAGAAAGGCUGCAAGCCAUGAUUGACUCUGAAGUUCUUUUUCUCUUCACUACACUGUGCUGUCUCCCAGCAGAAGUGUAGGUGAUCCCUGAGCCCCUUUUUGCUAUUUGAAGAAAUGUCCCUGUCCAUGAAAAUCACGACAUGGUGUUGGUUGUAAACAGAGUGGGUAAAACAGUUAAGUACGUUGGAUAAAAGGAAUUAUGGGGAGCCGAGAGACUAGAUAGGAUAAUUUUGGUUGAUAAUUAAGAUAGGAAACUAAUGGGUAGACCUGUACAGGAUGCUUAUCUGAUGUUUAGGAGUCCCUGGGUGGUGGAGUCGGUUAAGCACUUGACUACUCUCUGAAAGGUUGAUGAUUCGAACCCACCCAGAGGCCUGGCAUUUUGCUUCUGAAAGUUCACUGCCUUGAA